GAUGAACGCUGGCGGCGUGCCUAAUACAUGCAAGUCGAGCGAACAGACGAGGAGCUUGCUCCUCUGACGUUAGCGGCGGACGGGUGAGUAACACGUGGAUAACCUACCUAUAAGACUGGGAUAACUUCGGGAAACCGGAGCUAAUACCGGAUAACAUGUUGAACCGCAUGGUUCAACAGUGAAAGACGGUCUUGCUGUCACUUAUAGAUGGAUCCGCGCCGCAUUAGCUAGUUGGUAAGGUAACGGCUUACCAAGGCAACGAUGCGUAGCCGACCUGAGAGGGUGAUCGGCCACACUGGAACUGAGACACGGUCCAGACUCCUACGGGAGGCAGCAGUAGGGAAUCUUCCGCAAUGGGCGAAGGCCUGACGGAGCAACGCCGCGUGAGUGAUGAAGGUCUUCGGAUCGUAAAACUCUGUUAUUAGGGAAGAACAAAUGUGUAAGUAACUAUGCACGUCUUGACGGUACCUAAUCAGAAAGCCACGGCUAACUACGUG
This 497-nucleotide ribosomal RNA is filed under the name uncultured bacterium. RNAcentral's name for it is "partial 16S ribosomal RNA". It matches the Rfam family "Bacterial small subunit ribosomal RNA", at positions 28 to 507 of the family's 1533-position model. The record is from RNAcentral.